Molecule: ribosomal RNA, 246 nt
Filed under: uncultured Actinomycetales bacterium
Lineage: Bacteria; Bacillati; Actinomycetota; Actinomycetes; Actinomycetales
Description: partial 16S ribosomal RNA
Rfam family: Bacterial small subunit ribosomal RNA
Source: RNAcentral
GGUGCUCGAGUGGCGAACGGGUGAGUAACACGUGAGUAACCUGCCCUUGACUUUGGGAUAACUUCAGGAAACUGGGGCUAAUACCGGAUAGGAGCUCCUGCUGCAUGGUGGGGGUUGGAAAGUUUCGGCGGUUGGGGAUGGACUCGCGGCUUAUCAGCUUGUUGGUGGGGUAGUGGCUUACCAAGGCUUUGACGGGUAGCCGGCCUGAGAGGGUGACCGGCACAUUGGGACUGAGAUACGGCCCAG